RNAcentral lists this transfer RNA (86 nucleotides) under Saprospiraceae bacterium. RNAcentral's name for it is "tRNA-Leu". It matches the Rfam family "tRNA". From Rfam's summary of the family: Transfer RNA (tRNA) molecules are approximately 80 nucleotides in length. Their secondary structure includes four short double-helical elements and three loops (D, anti-codon, and T loops). The record is from RNAcentral. Lineage: Bacteria; Pseudomonadati; Bacteroidota; Saprospiria; Saprospirales; Saprospiraceae.
GCCCGGAUGGUGAAAUCGGUAGACACGCAGGACUUAAAAUCCUGUGACCAGUGAUGGUCGUGUGGGUUCAAGUCCCACUCCGGGUA